UUUUAAGUUUCACUUUACAAAAGGGAACUCCCACACUUCUUCAUUCAAGAGUAAUCUGUUCGGGUUUUUCCAGGAUCAUUACCAACCAUCCCCUGACAAGUAAACGCUCCUUCAAAUCUAAAGACAGCAAAGCUACCAGGAUGUCCUGCCUUUGGAUGAGUCUGAGUCUGCUCUUUGUCCUACAGCACAGCGUCUCAUCAGAUGAAGACGUGAAAGUGAACUGCCCCCAAACAGUGGAAGUCAAAGCUGGGGACUCAGCAACGAUAAACUGCAGCAUAAAAUGCAACGGAAUUUACUGUAAUGGCAUAAGUUUUAACUGGAGUGAUACACGUGAACCUGAUCUGUGUGAAAAUACCAACAGCUACAAGUGUGAAUGGGAUAACAGGACCUAUGUGUCGCUGACCAUCCUGAAAGCCAUGACGGAUGAAACUGUCAGAGUUAAUGUUUUUUUAAUAUGUGGUUUGCACGACAAUAGUACACAAAUAAAGAUAGCGUCUUCUGAGAAAAUAGAGAGCCCAUCUGACGACACGGGGAGUUGGACCAUUGUGAUAGCCAUCAUGAUUUCUGUUUUCAGUGUCAUCAUUAUUGUAGGAAUUUUAUUUUUCCUGUAUCGAACCAAAAAGUUCUCAAAAACUGCCUCACACCAAGCAGUAAACCAAGAAGAAAACUCAUCAUCAGGUGAGGUUUGAACAGAUGGCACCUGGACUUCUUCAGCUGUAAAUAACUGCUGGGAAUUUCAGGUUUUGAAGCACUGAGGACAUUUGCUUUCCACUGUUCAAGGUCACAUGUGAGCCACUGACCCACCUGAUCGCUUCACUGUGACCUGUGAGGACUUUACCUUCCUGACCGACAUCUUGGUCCAUAGUGCACUUGGUUGUGAAAGUGCCUGGGAAGGAAAGUCAGACUUUUAGUAUUUAAAACAUGGGUUCACUUUCACAUUGUGUGUAGUGGCUGGUUUAUCUUCAGAGCUCUGAAGGCUACACUUUACUGAUCUUUGUCUUAGUUUCUCUCGGUUUCAAAGCCUCCAUGUGAGACGCUACGGUUGUAUGCUUAUGUAAAGAUAAAGUGAGCUGGGCCUAUUUUUCCAAAUUGGUAAGCACAUACUGCUGUGGCCGGUUAUAAAUCAGUCCUGUGCAGAACUUUUCUUCCAAUCAUCUUCAUACAGAGACGUACGUAUAGCAGGGAGGGAAUGGGGUGUUAAGAGGUCAGUUGGCUUGUGUUACAAUCAAAAUAUAUAUUUAUUUUUUUCACUUUUAUACUUUAAUAAUUAUUAGAUUUUUUGUAUAUAUUAUAAUUUGGAUGAUGUAGCUUCACUGUACUCAUAUGUUUUCUAAAUAUAAGAUGCUGGACCAUCAACCAUUUAUUUUAUGAUGUUUUGCAGCUAUUUUAUACAGAAGCCUAGAGGGAACAAUCCCUAAAUUAUUUAUUCUAAUGUUAUCUCAAGGUCACAAAUGAAUUUAUGUUAUCUCUGAAAUCUGUCUUUGUGUGUUCUCUACAUGAGAGUGAUUAAGUUGAGCUUGAUAAUGAGUUGUUCAUGUAUCAGCAAUUAAUUGUUCUUGUUUAUCUGGGAAGAAUCUACAGCAGCAUGCUGAGACGUGCAUGUUUUUAUUCUCCAUUUAUAGUUUUACUGAACUCUAACAACUUGUUUUAUUGGACAUUUUAAAAGAGAUUAACUCAGAAAACGUCAAGGUUAAAGAUAUUAAAGAGCCCUGAGCUUCAAAUUAAAAACAAAAAAAAAAUUAUUUUUUUUUUGUGUGGUUUAAAAGUAUUUAAGUAAACUGCUUAUGACCAUUGUCCUUAUCUGUUAUUGUAAACAAAAGUGAAAAAAAAUGUUAUAGUAUAAAUGAAAUACUAAACUGAUCUUUUCAAAAAAAUGACUUAACCAGAUUAUUAUUUUUACUGCAUCUGUUUUAUUAUAAAUGUUUUAUUGUUGUCUUCAGUUUCUAAUGAUGGUUAAGCACUUUGGUCACUUGCUUUUAAAAUGUGUUGUACAAGUAAAUUUUAUUUGAUAAAGUCUAAUCUUUAAUCUUAUUUUCUUUCUUUUUUGUGAAAACAGUUAAGUGUAUGUUAAUGUUGCCGAAUUCCAAAUAAAGUUGUUUAUAUUCACAUGUGUCUCUACUUGCUGUUCUGACCACCAAUGGAGACUUUUCCAAUUAUCUUCAAUGUAAAAAUUGUUUAAUCAAGUUAAAACUGUAUUUAAAUAAAGGUGGAAGUACCAGAAGUCAUAGCAAACAUGAAUGAAUGAGCUGUUGCAAAGAGA
Molecule: long non-coding RNA, 2260 nt
Organism: Melanotaenia boesemani (Boeseman's rainbowfish)
Lineage: Eukaryota; Metazoa; Chordata; Actinopteri; Atheriniformes; Melanotaeniidae
Exons: 4
Source: RefSeq, a predicted model, not a curated record